AUGCUCUGGUUUCUCUUCAUAACGAAUAAAUCUUUUGCCUUUUACUAAAGAUUUCUGUGGAGAGGAAGAAUUAUGAGUUUGUAACUGAAUUCUCUGAUGUCCUGCUCAGGCAGGGCU
RNAcentral lists this small nuclear RNA (117 nucleotides) under Saimiri boliviensis boliviensis (Bolivian squirrel monkey). RNAcentral describes it as "U5 spliceosomal RNA (ENSSBOG00000006168.1)". It matches the Rfam family "U5 spliceosomal RNA". Rfam says of the family: U5 RNA is a component of both types of known spliceosome. The precise function of this molecule is unknown, though it is known that the 5' loop is required for splice site selection and p220 binding, and that both the 3' stem-loop and the Sm site are important for Sm protein binding and cap methylation. The record is from Rfam by way of RNAcentral. Lineage: Eukaryota; Metazoa; Chordata; Mammalia; Primates; Cebidae.